AUUGAACGCUGGCGGCAUGCCUUACACAUGCAAGUCGAACGGCAGCGGGGGAGAAGCUUGCUUUUCCUGCCGGCGAGUGGCGAACGGGUGAGUAAUACAUCGGAACGUGCCCUGUAGUGGGGGAUAACUAGUCGAAAGAUUAGCUAAUACCGCAUACGACCUGAGGGUGAAAGUGGGGGACCGCAAGGCCUCAUGCUAUAGGAGCGGCCGAUGUCUGAUUAGCUAGUGGGUGGGGUAAAGGCCUACCAAGGCGACGAUCAGUAGCUGGUCUGAAGGGCAGUUCAGCCACGCUGGUGCUGAGAAACGGCCCAGACUGCUACGGGAGGCAGCAGUGGGGAAAUUUGGACAGUUGGCGAAAGCCUGGUCCAGCAAUGCCGCGUGUGUGAAGAAGGCCUUCGGGUUGUAAAGCACUUUUGUCCGGAGAGAAAUGGCUCUGGUUAAUACCUGGGGUCGAUGACGGUACCGGAAGAAUAAGGACCGGCUAACUACGUGCCAGCCGCCGCGGUAA
RNAcentral lists this ribosomal RNA (508 nucleotides) under uncultured bacterium. Its description in RNAcentral is "partial 16S ribosomal RNA". It matches the Rfam family "Bacterial small subunit ribosomal RNA", at positions 30 to 523 of the family's 1533-position model. The record is from RNAcentral.